This 293-nucleotide ribosomal RNA is filed under the name uncultured prokaryote. RNAcentral's name for it is "partial 16S ribosomal RNA". It matches the Rfam family "Archaeal small subunit ribosomal RNA", at positions 474 to 771 of the family's 1478-position model. The record is from RNAcentral.
CACCGGCAGCUCUAGUGGUAGCUGUUUUUAUUGGGCCCUAAAGCGUUCGUAGCCGGUUUGAUAAGUCCCUGGUGAAAUCCUGUAGCUUAACUGUGGGAAUUGCUGGAGAUACUAUCAGACUUGAGGUCGGGAGAGGUUAGAGGAACUCCCAGGGUAGGGGUGAAAUCCUAUAAUCCUGGGAGGACCACCUGUGGCGAAGGCGUCUAACUGGAACGAACCUGACGGUGAGUAACGAAAGCCAGGGGCGCGAACCGGAUUAGAUACCCGGGUAGUCCCUGAGCGGGCUGGCAAGG